GACGAACGCUGGCGGCGUGCUUAACACAUGCAAGUCGAACGGAAAGGCCCUGCUUUUGUGGGGUGCUCGAGUGGCGAACGGGUGAGUAACCCGUGAGUAACCUGCCCUUGACUUUGGGAUAACUUCAGGAAACUGGGGCUAAUACCGGCUAGGAGCUCCUGCUGCAUGGUGGGGGUUGGACAGUUUCGGCGGUUGGGGAUGGACUCGCGGCUUAUCAGCUUGUUGGUGGGGUAGUGGCUUACCAAGGGUUUGACGGGUAGCCGGCAUGGGAGGGUGACCGGCGACAUUGGGACUGAGAGACGGCCCAGACUCCUACGGGAGGCAGCAGGGGGGAAUAUUGCACAAUGGGCGGAAGCCUGAUGCAGCAACGCUGCGUGCGGGAUGACGGCCUUGGGGUUGUAAACCGCUGUCGCCUGUGACGAAGCGUGAGUGACGGUAAUGGGUAAAGAAGCACCGGCUAACUACGUG
Molecule: ribosomal RNA, 468 nt
Filed under: uncultured bacterium
Lineage: Bacteria
Description: partial 16S ribosomal RNA
Rfam family: Bacterial small subunit ribosomal RNA
Source: RNAcentral